Molecule: ribosomal RNA, 428 nt
Filed under: bacterium
Lineage: Bacteria
Description: partial 16S ribosomal RNA
Rfam family: Bacterial small subunit ribosomal RNA
Source: RNAcentral
UAGGGAAUCUUCGGCAAUGGGGGCAACCCUGACCGAGCAACGCCGCGUGAGUGAAGAAGGUUUUCGGAUCGUAAAGCUCUGUUGUAAGAGAAGAACGUGUGUGAGAGUGGAAAGUUCACACAGUGACGGUAACUUACCAGAAAGGGACGGCUAACUACGUGCCAGCAGCCGCGGUAAUACGUAGGUCCCGAGCGUUGUCCGGAUUUAUUGGGCGUAAAGCGAGCGCAGGCGGUUUAAUAAGUCUGAGUUAAAGGCAGUGGCUUAACCAUUGUUCGCUUUGGAAACUGUUAAACUUGAGUGCAGAAGGGGAGAGUGGAAUUCCAUGUGUAGCGGUGAAAUGCGUAGAUAUAUGGAGGAACACCGGUGGCGAAAGCGGCUCUCUGGUCUGUAACUGACGCUGAGGCUCGAAAGCGUGGGGAGCAAACAGG